RNAcentral lists this ribosomal RNA (253 nucleotides) under uncultured bacterium. RNAcentral's name for it is "partial 16S ribosomal RNA". It matches the Rfam family "Bacterial small subunit ribosomal RNA", at positions 524 to 776 of the family's 1533-position model. The record is from RNAcentral.
UACGUAGGGUGCAAGCGUUGUUCGGAAUUACUGGGCGUAAAGGGCGCGUAGGCUGUGCUGUAAGUCAGGCGUGAAAGCCCCGGGCUCAACCUGGGAAUUGCGCUUGAUACUGCGGCGCUGGAAGGUGGGAGAGGAUGGCGGAAUUCCCAGUGUAGAGGUGAAAUUCGUAGAUAUUGGGAAGAACACCGGUGGCGAAGGCGGCCAUCUGGCCCAUUUUUGACGCUGAGGCGCGAAAGCGUGGGGAGCAAACAGG